This 22-nucleotide microRNA is filed under the name Gallus gallus (chicken). Its description in RNAcentral is "gga-miR-1729-3p". Lineage: Eukaryota; Metazoa; Chordata; Aves; Galliformes; Phasianidae. The record is from miRBase by way of RNAcentral.
CUACUCGGUGAGUAAGGAUAGC